Molecule: ribosomal RNA, 1613 nt
Filed under: Salmonella enterica
Lineage: Bacteria; Pseudomonadati; Pseudomonadota; Gammaproteobacteria; Enterobacterales; Enterobacteriaceae
Also listed under: 1 other name
Description: partial 23S ribosomal RNA
Rfam family: Bacterial large subunit ribosomal RNA
Source: RNAcentral
AGACCCGAAACCCGGUGAUCUAGCCAUGGGCAGGUUGAAGGUUGGGUAACACUAACUGGAGGACCGAACCGACUAAUGUUGAAAAAUUAGCGGAUGACCUGUGGCUGGGGGUGAAAGGCCAAUCAAACCGGGAGAUAGCUGGUUCUCCCCGAAAGCUAUUUAGGUAGCGCCUCGUGAAUUCAUCUCCGGGGGUAGAGCACUGUUUCGGCUAGGGGGCCAUCCCGGCUUACCAACCCGAUGCAAACUGCGAAUACCGGAGAAUGUUAUCACGGGAGACACACGGCGGGUGCUAACGUCCGUCGUGAAGAGGGAAACAACCCAGACCGCCAGCUAAGGUCCCAAAGUCAUGGUUAAGUGGGAAACGAUGUGGGAAGGCCCAGACAGCCAGGAUGUUGGCUUAGAAGCAGCCAUCAUUUAAAGAAAGCGUAAUAGCUCACUGGUCGAGUCGGCCUGCGCGGAAGAUGUAACGGGGCUAAACCAUGCACCGAAGCUGCGGCAGCGACACUGUGUGUUGUUGGGUAGGGGAGCGUUCUGUAAGCCUGUGAAGGUGUGUCGUGAGGCAUGCUGGAGGUAUCAGAAGUGCGAAUGCUGACAUAAGUAACGAUAAAGCGGGUGAAAAGCCCGCUCGCCGGAAGACCAAGGGUUCCUGUCCAACGUUAAUCGGGGCAGGGUGAGUCGACCCCUAAGGCGAGGCCGAAAGGCGUAGUCGAUGGGAAACGGGUUAAUAUUCCCGUACUUGGUGUUACUGCGAAGGGGGGACGGAGAAGGCUAUGUUGGCCGGGCGACGGUUGUCCCGGUUUAAGCGUGUAGGUGUGUGUUCCAGGUAAAUCCGGUUCACUUUAACACUGAGGCGUGACGACGAGGCACUACGGUGCUGAAGCAACAAAUGCCCUGCUUCCAGGAAAAGCCUCUAAGCAUCAGGUAACAUCAAAUCGUACCCCAAACCGACACAGGUGGUCAGGUAGAGAAUACCAAGGCGCUUGAGAGAACUCGGGUGAAGGAACUAGGCAAAAUGGUGCCGUAACUUCGGGAGAAGGCACGCUGACACGUAGGUGAAGUGAUUUACUCAUGGAGCUGAAGUCAGUCGAAGAUACCAGCUGGCUGCAACUGUUUAUUAAAAACACAGCACUGUGCAAACACGAAAGUGGACGUAUACGGUGUGACGCCUGCCCGGUGCCGGAAGGUUAAUUGAUGGGGUCAGCGCAAGCGAAGCUCCUGAUCGAAGCCCCGGUAAACGGCGGCCGUAACUAUAACGGUCCUAAGGUAGCGAAAUUCCUUGUCGGGUAAGUUCCGACCUGCACGAAUGGCGUAAUGAUGGCCAGGCUGUCUCCACCCGAGACUCAGUGAAAUUGAACUCGCUGUGAAGAUGCAGUGUACCCGCGGCAAGACGGAAAGACCCCGUGAACCUUUACUAUAGCUUGACACUGAACAUUGAGCCUUGAUGUGUAGGAUAGGUGGGAGGCUUUGAAGUGUGGACGCCAGUCUGCAUGGAGCCGACCUUGAAAUACCACCCUUUAAUGUUUGAUGUUCUAACGUGGACCCGUUACCCGGGUUGCGGACAGUGUCUGGUGGGUAGUUUGACUGGGGCGGUCUCCUCCUAAAGAGUAACGGAG